Molecule: long non-coding RNA, 1097 nt
Organism: Symsagittifera roscoffensis
Lineage: Eukaryota; Metazoa; Xenacoelomorpha; Acoela; Convolutidae
Exons: 2
Source: RefSeq, a predicted model, not a curated record
CCUUAUUUUUCUUCUAGAUAGUUAUGAAUGUUGAAAGCUUUAUAUACUCUCCCUUCCCAGCUGCUGUUUUAGGAAAUCUCUUUUACCCGUACAGGCUCAUAAAAAUGAAUUUAAUGCUGGGUAACGAAUUGGCUCCUGUUAGGUUGCUUGAUGGAACUGGCUAUUGCAUAAUACCCAGUUUUUGGGAAAAUAUGCAAUUUGUAACCAGAAAACGGCCUUUUUAUUCAUUAUGGGAUGGUUAUAUGCCCACGGUCUUAGCUGAUGUAACAUAUUUGUUCACUUACAGUUUUUCUUCAAAUUUUCUGUUCAACCGAAAGCGACAUAAAGCCGAGUACUUCAAGGCGGCUGAGUCAAAUCGUCUAGCAUAUGAAGAGUGUAUUCUGAGCUUAAUCUGCAAUACCAUCACAAUUCCACUGCGAGUGAUAUCAUGGCGGUCCAUGGCCCAGCUCUGUGGUCCCGAAUGUUUUGAUUACCGGGUUAACAUUCUGGGAGGACUGCGACACAUUGCCAAAGUAGAGGGCUUGUCUGGUUUUUACAAAGGAGUAGUCCCGCUGAUAAUAACAGAUCUUCUAAAAAUUCUGCUCACUCGAGUUCUGUUUGAAGCUACUCUGAAAUUCACCAAGAAGUACCGCGAUUUGAGGAACAAGGACAGCAGUCGCAGGUCGAAAAGAGAAACAAGAAGUCUAAAUCAGUUCGAGAACCUGUUUACCAUUUUUGUCAGCUUCAUGUUUCACCCCUUGUCCCUUGUGACUCUGCUGAUGAAUAUGAAUUGCAGUGAAGUGACACCAUUUGUGAGGUACAGAAAUGUGAUGCACUGUCUCCGUCAUUUAUACUCCACUUCGUCUCUAUAUCGAGGAUUUAUGAAUGUUUUCCCAUUCUAUAUACCUGUCUAAGUCUGCCCCCUGAAAAGUACCAAAUUCGUCCUAGAUGCUUUUCCUUUUUUAAAAACCAGACAAUAUUUGCGGCCAAAUCAUUAAAUUGGACGAAUUGGUAUCUACUAGGUCAGAAGAUAAAUAUACAGAUGGUGUUACAUAGUUAGUUUUUCGUGAAUUAAAGAAUGAGUUUGAUAUAGAGUUAAGCAUUUUGAUCAAAUUGAA